RNAcentral lists this ribosomal RNA (439 nucleotides) under uncultured bacterium. RNAcentral describes it as "partial 16S ribosomal RNA". It matches the Rfam family "Bacterial small subunit ribosomal RNA", at positions 338 to 795 of the family's 1533-position model. The record is from RNAcentral.
CCUACGGGUGGCAGCAGUGGGGGAUAUUGCACAAUGGAGGAAACUCUGAUGCAGCGACGCCGCGUGAGGGAAGACGGUCUUCGGAUUGUAAACCUCUGUCUUUGGGGAAGAAAAUGACGGUACCCAAAGAGGAAGCUCCGGCUAACUACGUGCCAGCAGCCGCGGUAAUACGUAGGGAGCGAGCGUUGUCCGGAAUUACUGGGUGUAAAGGGAGCGUAGGCGGGCGAGAAAGUUGAAUGUUAAAUCUACCGGCUUAACUGGUAGCUGCGUUCAAAACUUCUUGUCUUGAGUGAAGUAGAGGCAGGCGGAAUUCCUGGUGUAGCGGUGAAAUGCGUAGAUAUAGGGAAGAACACCAGUGGCGAAAGCGGCUCUCUGGUCUGUAACUGACGCUGAGGUUCGAAAGCGUGGGUAGCAAACAGGAUUAGAUACCCCUGUAGUC